AUUUUUUUUUAUUAGCAAAGAAUGAAAUUAAAUUAAGAGGGAUACAAAAGGGGUAUCCCAACCCUUUUACAUAAACCAAACCACAUUAAGAAUCUCCAAGAAUAAAGAGAUGAACAAACACCCCAGAAGCAAUAGAUAGAUAAUGUUUGUUGCAUAAGGUAGACAUCCUAUUCCAGCUAGCACCGUGCUUGUAUUGGAAUGCUAUAAGCACUGCAAACUGCAGCUACAAAACCAUCAAAAUACACCAAAAUAUUGGUUAUCUCCACCACCUCAUUGACAUUCCUUCUACCCAGCUUGCAGUGGCACGAUUGUAGCACUUGUCACAGAAUUAAUCACUUCAAUGCAACAUCUUCCAUUCGCUCCUUUUUGGACUUUGGUUUCCCCCUGUUUGCUCCUUUUAAGCUCACUUUUAUCAGAAAUCAACUUCCUACUUGCCAUGGUCCAUCUCGCACU
This 453-nucleotide long non-coding RNA is filed under the name Phaseolus vulgaris (common bean). RNAcentral's name for it is "long non-coding RNA (PVUL_LNC004890)". Lineage: Eukaryota; Viridiplantae; Streptophyta; Magnoliopsida; Fabales; Fabaceae. The record is from RNAcentral.